This is a non-coding RNA of Mucidula mucida, 89 nucleotides long. The record is from the annotation of a GenBank genome assembly. Lineage: Eukaryota; Fungi; Basidiomycota; Agaricomycetes; Agaricales; Physalacriaceae.
GGCGCUAUGGUGUAGUGGCAGCACACGGGAUUUUGAGGAAGUCUUCCCAGAGUCUUCCCGUAACCCAGGUUCGAACCCUGGUAGUGCCU